AGAGUUUGAUCCUGGCUCAGGACGAACGCUGGCGGCGUGCCUAAUACAUGCAAGUCGAGCGGACUUUCUCCUUCGGGGGAAGGUUAGCGGCGGACGGGUGAGUAACACGUAGGCAACCUGCCCCUAAGACUGGGAUAACACUCGGAAACGAAUGCUAAGACCGGAUAAGCAGUGCUCUCGCAUGAGAGGGCUGGGAAACA
RNAcentral lists this ribosomal RNA (200 nucleotides) under uncultured bacterium. RNAcentral describes it as "partial 16S ribosomal RNA". It matches the Rfam family "Bacterial small subunit ribosomal RNA", at positions 8 to 208 of the family's 1533-position model. The record is from RNAcentral.